Molecule: ribosomal RNA, 503 nt
Filed under: uncultured bacterium
Lineage: Bacteria
Description: partial 16S ribosomal RNA
Rfam family: Bacterial small subunit ribosomal RNA
Source: RNAcentral
AUUGAACGCUGGCGGCAGGCUUAACACAUGCAAGUCGAGCGGGGUGAUGGCGCUUGCACUAUCACUUAGCGGCGGACGGGUGAGUAAUGCUUAGGAAUCCGCCUAUUAGUGGGGGACAACAUCUCGACAGGGAUGCUAAUACCGCAUACGUCCUACGGGAGAAAGCAGGGGAUCACUUGUGACCUUGCGCUAAUAGAUGAGCCUAAGUCGGAUUAGCUAGUUGGUGGGGUAAAGGCCGACCACGGCGACGAUCUGUAGCGGGUCUGAGAGGAUGAGCCGCCACACUGGGACUGAGACACGGCCCAGACUCCUACGGGAGGCAGCAGUGGGGAAUAUUGGACAAUGGGGGAAACCCUGAUCCAGCCAUGCCGCGUGUGUGAAGAAGGCCUUAUGGUUGUAAAGCACUUUAAGCGAGGAGGAGGCUCUUUUGGUUAAUACCCAAGAUGAGUGGACGUUACUCGCAGAAUAAGCACCGGCUAACUCUGUGCCAGCCGCCGCAGUAA